Molecule: long non-coding RNA, 579 nt
Filed under: Sorghum bicolor (sorghum)
Lineage: Eukaryota; Viridiplantae; Streptophyta; Magnoliopsida; Poales; Poaceae
Description: long non-coding RNA (SBIC_LNC013216)
Source: RNAcentral
UGUCGAGGGGCUCGGUGGCGGGGUCGAAGUCGUCCUCGUGGCGCGUGCGAGCAUGUGAGGUGUACUCGGCCAUCUUCUCAUAGGCGUUCGGGUUGGUGUACGCCUCGGCACACGUAACUCGACGUGUUCGUUCAGCGAGAUGGUCGAGAUUUUAUGUGAGGUCGUGGAUACGAACUCAAAAUACACCUAAUACCAUGAAUAUCAUUUUUUGAAACACUGCGUUGUGAUAUUUCAUGUACGUGCAGUUCAAAUUUAAAUUAUUCGGAAAAACACAAAGAAACAAAUUAAAUCAGUUAAAUAUAGCAAAAAAGUCAAAAUACCCCCAAACUUUAAACUAGGGUUUGAAACCGUGUCAAAAAGCCUGACAAAAAACUCAGAUCAAAAAAUAAAAAAAAUAAAAUGCUUUGCCGAGUGCCACAUAGGACACUCGGCAAAGAAGGCUUUGCCGAGCACCCUGCCAGCUAGCACUCGGCAAAGAACCAUCCUUUGCCGAGUGCCUAACAUUUGGAUCUCAGCAAAGAGGACGGCAGCCGCCGCCGUUAGCCGGCCAGGAACUUUGCCGAGAGCUCACCUUUGCCG